This 253-nucleotide ribosomal RNA is filed under the name uncultured bacterium. Its description in RNAcentral is "partial 16S ribosomal RNA". It matches the Rfam family "Bacterial small subunit ribosomal RNA", at positions 524 to 776 of the family's 1533-position model. The record is from RNAcentral.
UACGAAGGGGGCUAGCGUUGUUCGGAUUUACUGGGCGUAAAGCGCACGUAGGCGGACUAUUAAGUCAGGGGUGAAAUCCCGGGGCUCAACCCCGGAACUGCCUUUGAUACUGGUAGUCUUGAGUUCGAGAGAGGUGAGUGGAAUUCCGAGUGUAGAGGUGAAAUUCGUAGAUAUUCGGAGGAACACCAGUGGCGAAGGCGGCGCACUGGCGCGAUACUGACGCUGAGGUGCGAAAGCGUGGGGAGCAAACAGG